RNAcentral lists this ribosomal RNA (460 nucleotides) under uncultured bacterium. RNAcentral describes it as "partial 16S ribosomal RNA". It matches the Rfam family "Bacterial small subunit ribosomal RNA", at positions 338 to 795 of the family's 1533-position model. The record is from RNAcentral.
CCUACGGGAGGCAGCAGUGAGGAAUAUUGGUCAAUGGACGAGAGUCUGAACCAGCCAAGUAGCGUGAAGGAUGACUGCCCUAUGGGUUGUAAACUUCUUUUAUAUGGGAAUAAAAUGUUCCACGUGUGGGAUUUUGUAUGUACCAUAUGAAUAAGGAUCGGCUAACUCCGUGCCAGCAGCCGCGGUAAUACGGAGGAUCCGAGCGUUAUCCGGAUUUAUUGGGUUUAAAGGGAGCGUAGGUGGAUUGUUAAGUCAGUUGUGAAAGUUUGCGGCUCAACCGUAAAAUUGCAGUUGAAACUGGCAGUCUUGAGUACAGUAGAGGUAGGCGGAAUUCGUGGUGUAGCGGUGAAAUGCUUAGCUAUCACGAAGAACUCCGAUUGCGAAGGCAGUUCACUGGACUGCAACUGACACUGAGGCUCGAAAGUGUGGGUAUCAAACAGGAUUAGAUACCCGUGUAGUC